RNAcentral lists this ribosomal RNA (109 nucleotides) under Pteropus alecto (black flying fox). The record is from RNAcentral. Lineage: Eukaryota; Metazoa; Chordata; Mammalia; Chiroptera; Pteropodidae.
GUCUAUGGCCGUGCCACCCUGAACAAGCCCAAUCCCAUCUGAUCUCGGAAGCCAAGCAGGGUCGGGCCUGGUUAGUAUUUGGAUGGGAGACCACCAAGUAUUGUAGGCA